GUGUGGCUGAGCUUCAAUCGACACUGGAUCUUUGAGUGACCUAAACCUGGAAAGGAGUGUGUCGCAGGAGAAGAGCAUUAUUGUAAAUAUCGAAUGUUGGGCUUUCAUCUUUCACACCAUGGACCACGAGCACUGUGCAGGAGUUGGGAGUACCAUGAAGAAGUCACGUCUUUGUGAGACGGGAGAGGAGCGGAGGGGAAGCUGGGAUCAGCUGAGACCGGAGCUGUCCAGACUACGGACUGUCACAACAAAUGAAAACUAAAAAUAAACGUGGCAUCUGGC
Molecule: long non-coding RNA, 282 nt
Organism: Oreochromis aureus
Lineage: Eukaryota; Metazoa; Chordata; Actinopteri; Cichliformes; Cichlidae
Exons: 3
Source: RefSeq, a predicted model, not a curated record